GUCGAGGGGUAGAGGUUUCGGGCUUGAGACCGGCGCACGGGUGCGUAACGCGUAUGCAAUCUGCCUUGUACUGGGGGAUAGCCCAGAGAAAUUUGGAUUAAUACCCCAUAGUAUUUUCGGUUGGCAUCAACUGAUUAUUAAAGUUUUCGGUACAAGAUGAGCAUGCGUCCCAUUAGCUAGUUGGUAUGGUAACGGCAUACCAAGGCUACGAUGGGUAGGGGUCCUGAGAGGGAGAUCCCCCACACUGGUACUGAGACACGGACCAGACUCCUACGGGAGGCAGCAGUGAGGAAUAUUGGUCAAUGGUCGCAAGACUUAACCAGCCAUGCCGCGUGCAGGAUGAAGCAUCUAUGGUGUGUAAACUGCUUUUGUACGGGAAGAAACACUCCUACGUGUAGGAGCUUGACGGUACCGUAAGAAUAAGGAUCGGCUAACUCCGUGCCAACAGCCGCGGUAAUACGGGGGAUCCAAGCGUUAUCCGGAAUCAUUGGGUUUAAAGGGUCCGUAGGCGGCUUUAUAAGUCAGUGGUGAAAUCCGGCAGCUUAACUGUCGGAAUUGCCAUUGAUACUGUAGGGCUUG
Molecule: ribosomal RNA, 579 nt
Filed under: bacterium S5-28
Lineage: Bacteria
Description: bacterial SSU rRNA
Rfam family: Bacterial small subunit ribosomal RNA
Source: RNAcentral